Small nuclear RNA from Octodon degus (degu), 104 nucleotides. The record is from Ensembl. NCBI's taxonomy places the organism in Eukaryota, Metazoa, Chordata, Mammalia, Rodentia, Octodontidae.
GUGCUCACUUUGGUAGCACAUACACUAAAAUUGGAAUGAAACAGAGAUUAGCAUGGCCCCUGCAAAAGGAUAACAUGCAAAUUCAUGAAACAUUCCAGAUUUUU